UAAAAAAAGAGUUUUAUAUUGGCUCUCGUAAGUAUUAUCUAGAAACAUAUAUUAUGCAAACUAACAAAUUAUAGAUUUUCAUAAGGGAAAUAGUAGUAUAAUUUAGAGUAGUGAACACACGAGUAAUAGAUAAGAAACUACAACAUAAUAUAGCAAUAAAUUUGUAAUAAGAAUAUUAUAAAAGAAUUUAUAAUAUUUAUAAAGUAUGUAUAAACAUAUGUAUUAUGUGAGGCUUAUCUUAAUAUUAGGUAGUUGGUUACAAUAAAUAGAGAACGCAAGCUUAAAAUAUUUAGUCUAAUUAAGACCGUGUAGGAUCUGAAACAUAUCCUAAUUUCAAUGAAAUCAGCAGUAAGUAACAUUCGUCAAUGAUUGAAAGAUUGAACGAGUUAUCUAGUAGAAUUAUUAAAACUGAAGUUAAAGAUAUGGAAAAAUAGUAAUGUAUUAAAAAAUAUCAGUAAUAGUUUUAGAACGAACAUAAAAUUCGAAUUUUAAUAUAAAAAAGAUAUAUUAAUUGUGAUAGUAUGUACUAAUAUCAGUGCCAGCAGUAGCGGUAAUACUGAUCAUACAAAUACUUAUAAUAUACUUGGCUUAAAGGGUUUGUAGAUGGAUGUAACAAUACAUACUAGAAUUUAUAAGAUGUUAUUUCAAUUUUAAAAGUAAGGAUAAAAUUUGCGUAUAAUUAAAGUUGACCCAAAAUUUGGAAAAUAAUAACAAAUAUGAAUUGACAUUAAGAAACGAAAGUUAAAAUAUAGAAAUCGAUUAGAGACCGGUGUAUUUUUAACCGUAAACGAAACAUAUUGAGAAUAAAAAUAGUUAAACGAUAAUAUGUCGCCAUAGUAGUACGUUCCCAGGAAUAAAACUAAAAAUAUAAGACGGUUUGGAACUCAAGUAGUGGAACAUGUUGUUUAAUUCGAUAAUCCCCGAUAAACUUACCUAUUUUUGUAUUCUAAACAGGUGUUACAUCAUUGUCUUCAAUUCGUGUUGUGAAAUGUUAGGUUAAGUCCAAGCAACGAAUAAAAACCUCUAUAAUAUUAAUAAAUAUUAUUUAUAUUUAAUCAAAAUGGUUAACAUAAAGAGGACUAAGACAAAUCAAGAUGACCCAAAUAGAUAGGGCUACAGAUGUGUUACAAAAUAUAAAGAAAUAAAAAAUUAAAGAAAUAAUAAAAACUUUAAUAAAAUAUAUAAAUUAUAUAAUAAAAUGAUUAUUUCAUUUGCUCCAUGGAUAAAAGUUUGAAAUUCAGCUUUUUGAAAAAGGAAUUACUAGUAAUUAUCGUUAAGUAUACGAUAAUGAAUAUCAUCUUUCAUUCGUACUAAUCACUCAUCACUUGCUUAAAGAAUAAAAUGUUAAGUUUUUUUAAAGUAAAUCAAAUUAAAUUUGUUUUUAUAUUAUUAUUACAGCCCCCUAAUUCAUAUUUUGAAUAGGUAAGAGGUAAUAAUAAUAAUUGUUAUAUAUUUAUUAAAAUAUAUAAUAAUAUUAAAUACGCAUUAAGUUUAAUAAGUAAGAAGUUGAAAUACAGUUACUGUAGAGGAAUCUGCAGUGGUAAAUAAAAAUUU
RNAcentral lists this ribosomal RNA (1554 nucleotides) under Yarrowia lipolytica. RNAcentral describes it as "small subunit ribosomal RNA". The stretch from base 1 to 1332 matches the Rfam family "Bacterial small subunit ribosomal RNA". The record is from RNAcentral. Lineage: Eukaryota; Fungi; Ascomycota; Dipodascomycetes; Dipodascales.